GAUAUUGGAAGCGAACGUCGUUUCCAAGUUUCUUAGCCGGAAAACUCCAUCGUGGGAGCUACAUGAGCUCUACUCCAGCCGGUAAAACCGCCGAUCACAUUUUUUUCUAACGUGCAGAGGUACACGCUUUACAAAUUUACACCCUCAAGGACAAAAAUAAAGAAAACAACAGUUAUGAUGUAUGUUUAGAGUGAAUUAUUCAGCUGAAAAAAUGUUUUACUUUCGUUUAAUUUAAGUAUUAACCAAUCAGUCAAAAACAUAUGUAUUGAGUAUUGUAAUUGUUAUUAAAUAUUUUACAUAAAAUUUAAUAGUUACAUUUAAAGCUGAACUAUCGUAUAUAGAUAAUCUUUU
This 351-nucleotide long non-coding RNA is filed under the name Capsella grandiflora. RNAcentral describes it as "long non-coding RNA (CGRA_LNC001424)". Lineage: Eukaryota; Viridiplantae; Streptophyta; Magnoliopsida; Brassicales; Brassicaceae. The record is from RNAcentral.